RNAcentral lists this ribosomal RNA (244 nucleotides) under uncultured bacterium. Its description in RNAcentral is "partial 16S rRNA". It matches the Rfam family "Bacterial small subunit ribosomal RNA", at positions 505 to 748 of the family's 1533-position model. The record is from RNAcentral.
GUGUCAGCAGCCGCGGUAAUACGUAGGUGGCAAGCGUUGUCCGGAUUUACUGGGCGUAAAGGGUGCGCAGGCGGACAUUUAAGUGAGAUGUGAAAGACCCGGGCUUAACUUGGGCAGUGCAUUUCAAACUGGAUGUCUGGAGUGCAGGAGAGGAGAACGGAAUUCCUAGUGUAGCGGUGAAAUGCGUAGAGAUUAGGAAGAACACCAGUGGCGAAGGCGGUGCACUGGACUGUAACUGACACUG